AUAUUGUUGAGGAAUUGCACUUACUAUCUUACGAAUUUCUUGUUUUUUCUUUCUUUCUUAAAAAGAUUCUUAAGUUUUUGUGUGAAUCUGGGCCCAGAUGUUUAAAUCGAUGAGAAAAUUUGUAGAAUGUCGGCCCAGUUUCACCUCGUUCCAUCCUCUCCCAUUACCCCGCAACUGGACUCCAUUCAGCCCUAAACUCAGUGUAGAGCCUCGAGUAAAUUUGUUGAAGACGAAUGUUUUGAAUGGACAACAGUAAUAUCAAAAACUGGAACAAAAACAAAAUUGUCUAAAAUUGGAGUGGAGGACACGUGUGUAAAUGACAAUGAAUCGUUUCUUGUUGGGAUGCGUUUGUUGAGUAAGGAUGCGCAUGUGGGAAAAACGUUUAUGGUGUAGAAAAUGGUGACGUCUGGGCUUGGAAAAGUAGAGUCUGUCAGAGUGACCAGGAGUGGUCUUAUUUUCAUUAAUUGUAUUUCUGAAGAACAGAGGAAUAUUGCAGUUGGUCUCAAAAGAAUCCGGACGAUAGAAGUUUUGUGUUUUGAACUUCGGAGUAGAGCACCUGUCAAAGGAGUCAUCUCAGGGUGACGAAGGAUGUUCAGGUUGAAUCCCUGAAGAGAAUUCCUUGUGUGGUUGGUGCCUGGCCUCUGAUCCGCUGGGUGAAUGGAGGAAAUUAAGAAAGUCCGUUGGUCUUGGUUAUGUAAGAUAUGCCAUAAAAGCUUUGUCCCCAAACCACUGCAGUGUAAGAAUUGUAAAGGAUUUGCCCAUGUUUCAAGUGUGUGCAGAUUUUUUUAUUUAAAUGUAACCUUUAUUUAAGUAGGCAAGUCAGUUAAGAACAAAUUCUUAUUUACAAUGACGGCCUUUCCCAGCCAAAUCAGGAUGCCAAACCCACCGCCCUAUGGGACUCCCAAUCACAACCGGAUGUGACACAGCCUGGAUUCAAACCAGAGACUGUAGUGGACACCUCUUGAACUGAGAUGCAGUGCCUUAGACCGCUGUGCCACUUGGGAGCCCAAUGAACAGAGUACACUGAAGAACAGUGUGUAGAAGGACGACAGUGUUGUAAUUAUGGUGGGGAUCAUGAUCCUGAGUUCCUGGAGUGCCCUGUAAGGGUGAAGGAAAUUGAGUUGGCAAAAGUUAGAGCAGUCAAUCAAAUCUCCUAUACGGGGUGAUCAAAAUAAUUGAGAAAACAAAUGAUGCUAGUAAAGAAAUGGAGGUGGUUUUUGUUGCGUUCAUUGCCACAGUCUUUACAACUUCUUGAUCAAACAUCAUUUUGUCAGAGAAAGAAAAUCAUGAGCUUCCGAAAUUGGUAACACUGAAGUCAAAGUUCGGUAGGAAGGGCCAGCAAGCUAAAAUGAGUGAAUCGUUUGAGCAGAGUUGAGUAGCUAUGCCAGACCUUCUCAACUCUGCUCGAACACUUGCAGCAUUAUAGCUAGCUAGUCUAUGGUAGUCUCGGUUAAUGAUAUUAGAUAUGUUUUUCUUUGAUCGUUGUGUUUGGUUUGGAUAUGUGUACUAAAUAGCCCUCUACUUUUCUUUAUUUUACAAAACACAAACACCAUCGAAUGGAGACACCAGUUUUUUUUUUCUGUCACCCAGCACUGCCUGUUCACCAACCCACAGCACUUACUGGUCAUCAUCCAUCUCCUACACUGAGCUGCAGUACAGAAUGGAAAACCAUCUCCAUGCAGGCCCUGGGAAGCCCUAUCCUGGGCCCAUCUCCAAGACCUACUCCACUUGCUUGCUCCUCAGUGAUGCCACAGAGCAGCAGCAGUAGUAGCAGGGGUGUGAGAAAGGGAGGAAAGAGCUGCAGACUCAGCCCUUGACACAUCACUGGCAAAGACAUUGCAAACGAUUGAAGACAGAUCUCAAAAAUCUGGAGAACGUCAUGCACUGAGCCAGCAGCUUGUCCCAGAGACACUCCUCUAACCCCCUCCGCCCCGGCAUCUGUAGCUGAUUUCAUACAUAAACUAUCGCCAAAACUCUGGGAGGAAUUCUAUCACCAGUUGCACGAUUUCAUUCAUGACUUCAAGAAGAGGACAAGGACCAAACGACUGGGACUAUAGUGAAAUUAACAAAUUGUUCUAUUGUUCAGACAUCUCAGGAGUCACACUAGAC
Molecule: long non-coding RNA, 2109 nt
Filed under: Salmo salar (Atlantic salmon)
Lineage: Eukaryota; Metazoa; Chordata; Actinopteri; Salmoniformes; Salmonidae
Description: lncRNA (ENSSSAG00000111228.1)
Source: RNAcentral